This is a long non-coding RNA of Bubalus bubalis (water buffalo), 1024 nucleotides long. RefSeq lists it as uncharacterized. The record is from RefSeq and is a predicted model, not a curated record. NCBI's taxonomy places the organism in Eukaryota, Metazoa, Chordata, Mammalia, Artiodactyla, Bovidae. The transcript has 3 exons.
GGGCGUCUCGGCCUCCGCCCCUCGGAACGAGCUCGGAGAGGCGGGACGCGGCGAGAGGGGCGGAGCAGGGACUGCGCUCCACCUCCGCCCGGCUUCCCGCCAGUAUCCCGCGGGGGAACCGGUUUCUGCCAGUCCAAGCCUCCAGUAUUGACUGAUUUCUUUGCCUGGAUACUGAUGCUUCCCAGGGCGGGACUUAGGUAGCCGUGGUGAAUACCUUUCCCCCACACCCCCAAUCUGUCCCCGCUCCGCGUCCUCUCUCUGGUACUUGGGCUGCAGACCCUCCGGAUUCCUCGCAUGCUUUGCGGGGCCUCCACCCACCAGGCUCUGUACCCAGGCAGGCUUUUCUGACCCAAAACUGAGGAACCUCUUGCUGUGCCUGUAUCUUGUAAUGGAAGACCUUGAACCCGAGUGGGGCAUUGGGAAUCAAUAACGGUGAUACUAAUGAUCUCCAGUUUUAUGGCUUGGCCUAGGACUUUGGCUCUCUUGUGAAUUCUGCCCGAGAUCUCAUCCUCACUCAACAGUGAGAUUUCAGAGUCUGGAGAGACCACAGCAGGGCUGUGACCUGCUGCAGAAGGAGGUGACGUGUAUAUGGGAGGAAGUGAGGACCCAAUAGUCAACAAAAAUUGGUGAGCUUGACGUGCCAGGUGCUGGACUAGAAUCACGAUCUUGCACGUGUGUUCAUGAUGCUUCUCCAUCAUGGAAUUUCAUGCUUCUAAGGAUUGGUGAGAAUUUAUGAUCCCUGCUCAUAGACCGAAAGAAACUUACAAGACAUACCAACAUUAUAUGGACUCUCUUUGGAGCUUGAUUUAAACAAACUAAAGUUAAUUUUUUUUUCCAAAUAACCCAGAAAAUUGAACCCAGGAAUUAUUGUCUGUGUUGUUGGGUAUAAAUGAAUGUGUUUAUAGUUAAAGGGUUCCUUUGAUGAGGGGUAAGAUACUUGAUCGGAGAAGGCAGUGGCAACCCACUCCAGUACUCUUGCCUGGAAAAUCCCAUGGACGGAGGGGCCUGGUAGGCUGCAGUCCAU